RNAcentral lists this ribosomal RNA (563 nucleotides) under uncultured bacterium. Its description in RNAcentral is "partial 16S ribosomal RNA". It matches the Rfam family "Bacterial small subunit ribosomal RNA", at positions 355 to 1375 of the family's 1533-position model. The record is from RNAcentral.
UGGGGAAUAUUGGACAAUGGGCGCAAGCCUGAUCCAGCCAUGCCGCGUGAGUGAUGAAGGCCUUAGGGUUGUAAAGCUCUUUCGCCGACGAAGAUAAUGACGGUAGUCGGAGAAGAAGCCCCGGCUAACUUCGUGCCAGCAGCCGCGGUAAUACGAAGGGGGCUAGCGUUGUUCGGAAUCACUGGGCGUAAAGCGCACGUAGGCGGAUUGUUAAGUCAGGGGUGAAAGCCUGGAGCUCAACUCCAGAACUGCCCUUGAUACUGGCAAUCUCGAGUCCGGAAGAGGUAAGUGGAACUGCGAGUGUAGAGGUGAAAUUCGUAGAUAUUCGCAAGAACACCAGUGGCGAAGGCGGCUUACUGGUCCGGUACUGACGCUGAGGUGCGAAAAGCGUGGGGAGCAAAACAGGAUUAGAUACCCUGGUAGUCCACGCCGUAAAACGAUGGAGGCUAGCCGUUGGCGAGCAUGCUCGUCAGUGGCGCAGCUAACGCAUUAAGCCUCCCGCCUGGGGAGUACGGUCGCAAGAUUAAAACUCAAAUGAAUUGACGGGGUCAUAGCUGUUUCCU